AUAUUCCUGUACCACCUAUAAUCGUUUUAAUCGAUGGGGGGACGCAGUAGGAUAGGCGAAGCGUGCGAUUGGAUUGCACGUCUAAGCAGUAAGGCUGAGUAUUAGGCAAAUCCGGUACUCGUUAAGGCUGAGCUGUGAUGGGGAGAAGACAUUGUGUCUUCGAGUCGUUGAUUUCACACUGCCGAGAAAAGCCUCUAGAUAGAAAAUAGGUGCCCGUACCGCAAACCGACACAGGUAGUCAAGAUGAGAAUUCUAAGGUGAGCGAGCGAACUCUCGUUAAGGAACUCGGCAAAAUGACCCCGUAACUUC
RNAcentral lists this ribosomal RNA (309 nucleotides) under Staphylococcus aureus. RNAcentral's name for it is "partial 23S ribosomal RNA". It matches the Rfam family "Bacterial large subunit ribosomal RNA", at positions 1433 to 1737 of the family's 2925-position model. The record is from RNAcentral. Lineage: Bacteria; Bacillati; Bacillota; Bacilli; Caryophanales; Staphylococcaceae.